Molecule: ribosomal RNA, 162 nt
Filed under: Klebsiella pneumoniae
Lineage: Bacteria; Pseudomonadati; Pseudomonadota; Gammaproteobacteria; Enterobacterales; Enterobacteriaceae
Description: partial 16S ribosomal RNA
Rfam family: Bacterial small subunit ribosomal RNA
Source: RNAcentral
AAAUUGAAGAGUUUGAUCAUGGCUCAGAUUGAACGCUGGCGGCAGGCCUAACACAUGCAAGUCGAGCGGUAGCACAGAGAGCUUGCUCUCGGGUGACGAGCGGCGGACGGGUGAGUAAUGUCUGGGAAAUUGCCUGAUGGAGGGGGAUAACUACUGGAAACG